RNAcentral lists this long non-coding RNA (1662 nucleotides) under Homo sapiens (human). RNAcentral describes it as "HSALNT0293397". The record is from RNAcentral. Lineage: Eukaryota; Metazoa; Chordata; Mammalia; Primates; Hominidae.
UCAUUCUAGAAUUGGGAGGUAAUAGAAAAGAGAGAAAUGGGAAAGUUGCUCAAAUGCAAGUCCAGUGAAUCAGAGAGAAAAGGCUCAAAGCAGCAGAACAAAGCUUCAAUAAAGAGAUAUUGUGACUUGGAGAGAUGGCCUUUUGUCCUUUGUUCUAUUACCAGUCAGAGGAUGGGGAGCACACCCGAGCCUGAGACAACAGCUCUGCUAAGUGCCCUUGAGAGGGCACGGUGGGGUCAGCACCAAAGUCAGACCACUAAAGAGAAAAAGAGAGAAAGACAGGAUUGCAGAGGAGAAAUGAGAAUGGCAGAAAAAAUAAUUUUUUAAGCCAAAAGGAAUCAGAGAAGAGCAGAAGUGCCUCUAGGAUAAAGCGUAGCAGGCAGUUAGGGAAAAAGGGCUGUUAACUACCUUGAAGCUCUGACUACAUUAGAAAGCCUCGCAAGACAGUCGUUGCUUGCACGGGCAGUGACCUGAAAUCUUCAUAACCCUCUUCCUUUCUCCACUUAUCAACUAAGGGGUGGUUGGCAAUAAGGAUGGGUGGGAGAGAAAAAAAAACAGAAUUUGAGGAGGAGAGCAUUUAAACCAUCAGACUGUGUGUUCUGUGACAUCAAAGACUGGCAACAUUCUAAAGGAAAAGCAGCUGUGAAGUCAUAAUUAUGUUCACUUCCCACUGGCAACUGGCAAGCCCUUUAUUUUUGUGCAUUCGGAACUCACCAAGAAUAAAUAAAGUCCAUUCCCUCCUUGAGGGGCUAUUCUGCCAUUCCAUCUAGGAUUUAAAAGUUUGCCAAUUCCUAAAACAUCUAUUGUUAUCAAUAGUCUUGUGUCUUUCACAAAGCGGACUUUACAAAAUAAGUUAACAGGCCAUGAGAGGAACAGUCACACAUACCAAGAAAGGUACAUACGGAGAUAAUUCCAAUCAAAGUGAGCACAGCCUACGCAUAAACAGGAUUUUCCAAGAAAAAAGCAUUAAAGUGCCAUAGAAUAUUAAAGAGCAAUUAAAAGAAUGAAGAUCUCUUCAUAUGCUGGAUAGGCGGAGUGACCCAGCAAUCAUAUGGACACCAUCCAUUCCAGUGACACUCAAACUUCAGCGUGCAUCAGAAUCCCUGCAAGGCUUGCUAAGACACAGACUGCUGCGCCUACCUCAGAGUUCCUGAUUCAUCAAGCUUGAAGUAAGGCCUGAGAUUUUUGCAUUACUAACAAGUCUUCAGGUGAUACCAAUGCUGCUGAUCUGGAGACUGCCUUUGAGAGCCACUAUUCUAUCUCUUUCCCAAUCAACUGUCCUUUCUCACCUCCCUUUUAAAUCUCCAGCACCUGCUCCCUCAUGUUUACUCUCAAUGCACAAUCUUUUUUUCUCCUUCACUGACAGAAGUGAAACAAUUAAAAGAGAAUUUCCCCAGUCUCUCACUACUGCACCUGCUCACCCUCCCACAAGCACGUGUACUCACUGUGCUUUUCUUGCUGUUUUGAAAGGUGAAUUGUCUGUGGUCUUUCUAGAGCCAAUCUCUUCACAUGUGCACCAGAUUCCAAGACCUGCGGCCCACUCAAGGGCAUCCUGCAUGUCUUCUCCCAUCUCUUACCUUGUCAACUCUUUCCACUUUUUGAGUCAUCCUCCUCAGCACAAAAGAUUGUUACUCACUUAUCUUAAAAAGUAAAAGACUAAAC